UACGAAGGGGGCUAGCGUUGUCCGGAAUCAUUGGGCGUAAAGCGCGUGUAGGCGGCCCGGUAAGUCCGCUGUGAAAGUCGGGGGCUCAACCCUCGGAUGCCGGUGGAUACUGUCGGGCUCGAGUACGGAAGAGGCGAGUGGAAUUCCUGGUGUAGCGGUGGAAUGCGCAGAUAUCAGGAGGAACACCAACGGCGAAGGCAGCUCGCUGGGACGGUACUGACGCUGAGGCGCGAAAGCGUGGGGAGCGAACAGG
RNAcentral lists this ribosomal RNA (253 nucleotides) under uncultured bacterium. Its description in RNAcentral is "partial 16S ribosomal RNA". It matches the Rfam family "Bacterial small subunit ribosomal RNA", at positions 524 to 776 of the family's 1533-position model. The record is from RNAcentral.